This 641-nucleotide small RNA is filed under the name Pan troglodytes (chimpanzee). RNAcentral's name for it is "retained intron". The record is from RNAcentral. Lineage: Eukaryota; Metazoa; Chordata; Mammalia; Primates; Hominidae.
UAUGCAGGCACAAAAUAUUCCUUUUCAUCCUAUAGUUUCCCUGCCCUAACCCUGUAGUCAGGCAUAUCCCCAAGGAGCCCAGCUUUUUUCCAAUGGAGAAUGACAAUUCAGAAUUACCGUCUUGGUGCUUGCCUGGUGUGCUGUUGCCCCUAGAGGCCACUUAAAUGCCAAAGCACUGAAGCAUUGUGGCUCCAAGCCUGUGUGUGUGUGUGUGUGUUUGUGUGUGUGUGUGUGUGUGUGAGAGAGAGAGAGAGAAAGAGAGUGUGUGUGUGUGAUUAGUUCCAGAUUUGAAAAUAUUUUAGCAAUCAACUAUUUUCCCUUCCCCAGGCUUUUUCUCCUCCGUGACAGCCAGAGUAAUCCAAAGGCAUUUGUACUCACACUGUGUCAUCACCAGAAAAUUAAAAAUUUCCAGAUCUUACCUUGCGAGGACGACGGGCAGACGUUCUUCAGCCUAGAUGACGGGAACACCAAAUUCUCUGACCUGAUCCAGCUGGUUGACUUUUACCAGCUGAACAAAGGAGUCCUGCCUUGCAAACUCAAGCACCACUGCAUCCGAGUGGCCUUAUGACCGCAGAUGUCCUCUCGGCUGAAGACUGGAGGAAGUGAACACUGGAGUGAAGAAGCGGUCUGUGCGUUGGUGA